Erigeron canadensis is the source of this 556-nucleotide long non-coding RNA. RefSeq lists it as uncharacterized. The record is from RefSeq and is a predicted model, not a curated record. The transcript has 2 exons. NCBI's taxonomy places the organism in Eukaryota, Viridiplantae, Streptophyta, Magnoliopsida, Asterales, Asteraceae.
ACUAAACCGUCAAACAAAAUGGUGUGCUGGUUUGUGCGGCCGGCGGUCGUUACAAGUGGUGUGACAUGUUGGACGUAUUAUUUUUAGUUGUUCAUCAGAUCCGCCACCACCAACGCUAUUAUUCGGUGUGGUGGUUGUUGCCAGAAUUUUCAUUGUAUGUGGCGGUGGUGACCAGCGGCAGGCAAGUUGUUACAAGUGGUGUGACAUGCUGGACGCAUUAUCUUUAGUUUUUCAUCAGAUCUGUCAUCGCCGUUGUUAUUCGGUGUGGUGGGUGUUGUCGUCUAGUGAUUGUUAACUUUGAUUAAAGGACACCGGCAGUGGUUACUGCCGGAAGGCGGUGGUUAAUGAAGAUGUACCUACUGCUUAUAAAGUGUAAAUAAGCAAUGUUAAAAUGUGUUGUAGCUUAUGCAUAUGUGUUUGUACCAUUAGCCAACCAAGCCAGUUAGGAUAACUGAGCCGGCACUGUAACCGACACUGUAGCAGUCCAAAUUGGGGUUGUUAUAUAGAUAAUUUCACAUAGUAAUCUAAAACUAUCAUUCGAUAAUUUUAAAUGAAA